RNAcentral lists this long non-coding RNA (287 nucleotides) under Homo sapiens (human). RNAcentral describes it as "HSALNT0120966". Lineage: Eukaryota; Metazoa; Chordata; Mammalia; Primates; Hominidae. The record is from RNAcentral.
CUAACAGAGCGCUGCUGUUGAAGGGGCACAGAGUUUCAGUGAAAGCUCAGACCCAAAGCAUAAAUUAUGAUCACUUUAAGGGUAAGGGAGUAGAAUUGGUUUGUUUCAAGGUGGAAGGAUAUGGCAAAGCUGUGUGGAAGGCUUGAAUUGCACAUGGAGAGCCCUGAAUCCCCAUUCCUGCUCUGCCCCAGACUGUGUGGCCGGCUGUUCCCCUUUCCGGACCUCAGGAGAUAGGGCUUGGUAGAGCUUCUAAACUCUAUCUACUUCCAGCCCAGAAAGGCCGUUUG